RNAcentral lists this ribosomal RNA (872 nucleotides) under uncultured bacterium. RNAcentral describes it as "partial 16S ribosomal RNA". It matches the Rfam family "Bacterial small subunit ribosomal RNA", at positions 527 to 1399 of the family's 1533-position model. The record is from RNAcentral.
GAGGGNNGCGAGCGUUAAUNGAAUUACUGGGCGUAAAGCGCAUGCAGGUGGUUUGUUAAGUCAGAUGUGAAAGCCCGGGGCUCAACCUCGGAAUUGCAUUUGAAACUGGCAGACUAGAGUACUGUAGAGGGGGGUAGAAUUUCAGGUGUAGCGGUGAAAUGCGUAGAGAUCUGAAGGAAUACCGGUGGCGAAGGCGGCCCCCUGGACAGAUACUGACACUCAGAUGCGAAAGCGUGGGGAGCAAACAGGAUUAGAUACCCUGGUAGUCCACGCCGUAAACGAUGUCUACUUGGAGGUUGUGGCCUUGAGCCGUGGCUUUCGGAGCUAACGCGUUAAGUAGACCGCCUGGGGAGUACGGUCGCAAGAUUAAAACUCAAAUGAAUUGACGGGGGCCCGCACAAGCGGUGGAGCAUGUGGUUUAAUUCGAUGCAACGCGAAGAACCUUACCUACUCUUGACAUCCAGAGAACUUUCCAGAGAUGGAUUGGUGCCUUCGGGAACUCUGAGACAGGUGCUGCAUGGCUGUCGUCAGCUCGUGUUGUGAAAUGUUGGGUUAAGUCCCGCAACGAGCGCAACCCUUAUCCUUGUUUGCCAGCGAGUAAUGUCGGGAACUCCAGGGAGACUGCCGGUGAUAAACCGGAGGAAGGUGGGGACGACGUCAAGUCNUCNUGGCCCUUACGAGUAGGGCUACACACGUGCUACAANGGCGCAUACNGAGGGCGGCCAACUUGCGAGAGUGAGCGAAUCCCANAAANUGCGUNGUANUCCGGAUUGGNGUNUGCNANUUGNNUCCCANAAGUCGGAAUCGCUAGUAAUCGUGGAUCAGAAUGCCACGGUGAAUACNUUCCCGGGCNUUGUACNCACCGCCCGUAA